AUGCAUCUAUUUGACAAGAACCUCCAAGCACUUGCUAAUCUGCUGCUGAGGUUUCUUAUUAUGGAUGCAAGAAAAAAAGUCCUCGCGCUUUCUGCCUGUCUGAUUGUGCAGCUCAGAUUGAAUGGGGGAGUACAGGA
Molecule: small nucleolar RNA, 137 nt
Filed under: Sorex araneus (European shrew)
Lineage: Eukaryota; Metazoa; Chordata; Mammalia; Eulipotyphla; Soricidae
Description: Small nucleolar RNA SNORA31 (ENSSARG00000019848.1)
Rfam family: Small nucleolar RNA SNORA31
About the family: ACA31 (SNORA31) belongs to the H/ACA class of snoRNAs which are thought to guide the sites of modification of uridines to pseudouridines. ACA31 is predicted to guide the pseudouridylation of U3713 in 28S rRNA and U218 in 18S rRNA.
Source: RNAcentral